RNAcentral lists this ribosomal RNA (670 nucleotides) under uncultured bacterium. Its description in RNAcentral is "bacterial SSU rRNA". It matches the Rfam family "Bacterial small subunit ribosomal RNA", at positions 87 to 774 of the family's 1533-position model. The record is from RNAcentral.
GCUGUCGAGUGGNGCUCGGGUGAGUAANGUAUAGCUUACGUGCCCCAUAGAGGGGGAUAACUACUANAAAUGGUAGCUAAUACCCCAUACUCCUUAUAGUAGGGAUACUAUAAGGGAAAGGAGUAAUCCGCUAUGGGAUCGGGCUAUAUCGUAUCAGCUAGUUGGUGAGGUAAAGGCUCACCAAGGCGAUGACGCGUAGCUGGUCUGAGAGGAUGAUCAGCCACACUGGAACUGAGACACGGUCCAGACUCCUACGGGAGGCAGCAGUGGGGAAUAUUGCACAAUGGGGGAAACCCUGAUGCAGCAACGCCGCGUGGAGGAUGACGCAUUUCGGUGUGUAAACUCCUUUUAUAUGGGAAGAUGAUGACGGUACCAUAUGAAUAAGCACCGGCUAACUCCGUGCCAGCAGCCGCGGUAAUACGGGGGGUGCAAGCGUUACUCGGAAUCACUGGGCGUAAAGCGCGCGCAGGCGGUUAGAAAAGUCAGAUGUGAAAGCCUACGGCUUAACCGUAGAACUGCAUCUGAAACUCUCUAACUAGAGUGUGGGAGAGGUAAGUGGAAUUAGUGGUGUAGGGGUAAAAUCCGCAGAGAUCACUAGGAAAUACCAAAAGCGAANGCAACUUACUGGAACACUACUGACGCUGAGGCGCGAAAGCGUGGGGAGCAAACA